This 383-nucleotide ribosomal RNA is filed under the name uncultured eukaryote. Its description in RNAcentral is "partial 18S ribosomal RNA". It matches the Rfam family "Eukaryotic small subunit ribosomal RNA", at positions 592 to 976 of the family's 1831-position model. The record is from RNAcentral.
CAAUAGCGUAUAUUAAAGUUGCUGCAGUUAAAAAGCUCGUAGUUGGAUUUCUGGUAGGAGCGACCGUGCCGAACUUGAUUGUUCGAGUAUUGUGUUGUCUUCAGCCAUCCUCGUGGAGAACUUUUCUAACAUUAACUUGUUGGGAUUGGGACCCGCGUCGUUUACUGUGAAAAAAUUAGAGUGUUUAAAGCAGGCAUUAGCUUGAAUACAUUAGCAUGGAAUAAUAAGAUAGGACUUUGGUACUAUUUUGUUGGUUUGCAUACCAAAUUAAUGAUCAACAGGAACAGUUUGAGGAUAUUCGUAUGAACAUGUCAGAGGUGAAAUUCUUGGAUUUUGAUCAGACGAACUACUGCGAAAGCAUUUAUCAAGGAUGUUUUCAUUAA